Molecule: ribosomal RNA, 828 nt
Filed under: Mycobacterium sp.
Lineage: Bacteria; Bacillati; Actinomycetota; Actinomycetes; Mycobacteriales; Mycobacteriaceae
Description: bacterial SSU rRNA
Rfam family: Bacterial small subunit ribosomal RNA
Source: RNAcentral
UGAGUAACACGUGGGCAAUCUGCCCUGCACUUCGGGAUAAGCCUGGGAAACUGGGUCUAAUACCGGAUAGGACCUUUAGNCGCAUGNCUUUUGGUGGAAAGCUUUUGCGGUGUGGGAUGGGCCCGCGGCCUAUCAGCUUGUUGGUGGGGUGAUGGCCUACCAAGGCGACGACGGGUAGCCGGCCUGAGAGGGUGUCCGGCCACACUGGGACUGAGAUACGGCCCAGACUCCUACGGGAGGCAGCAGUGGGGAAUAUUGCACAAUGGGCGCAAGCCUGAUGCAGCGACGCCGCGUGGGGGAUGACGGCCUUCGGGUUGUAAACCUCUUUCACCAUCGACGAAGGUCCGGGUUUUCUCGGAUUGACGGUAGGUGGAGAAGAAGCACCGGCCAACUACGUGCCAGCAGCCGCGGUAAUACGUAGGGUGCGAGCGUUGUCCGGAAUUACUGGGCGUAAAGAGCUCGUAGGUGGUUUGUCGCGUUGUUCGUGAAAUCUCACGGCUUAACUGUGAGCGUGCGGGCGAUACGGGCAGACUAGAGUACUGCAGGGGAGACUGGAAUUCCUGGUGUAGCGGUGGAAUGCGCAGAUAUCAGGAGGAACACCGGUGGCGAAGGCGGGUCUCUGGGCAGUAACUGACGCUGAGGAGCGAAAGCGUGGGGAGCGAACAGGAUUAGAUACCCUGGUAGUCCACGCCGUAAACGGUGGGUACUAGGUGUGGGUUUCCUUCCUUGGGAUCCGUGCCGUAGCUAACGCAUUAAGUACCCCCGCCUGGGGGAGUACGGGCCGCAAGGCUAAAAACUCAAAAGGAAUUUGACGGGGGGCCCGCACAA